RNAcentral lists this long non-coding RNA (315 nucleotides) under Brassica rapa (field mustard). RNAcentral's name for it is "long non-coding RNA (BRAP_LNC004319)". Lineage: Eukaryota; Viridiplantae; Streptophyta; Magnoliopsida; Brassicales; Brassicaceae. The record is from RNAcentral.
UCAUAGACGAUUAUCCUUUCGUCUCGAUGGACACUGAGUUUCCCGGCGUGAUUUUCAAAUCCGAUCUCCGCCGUGGAAACCCGGCCGAUCUCUACCGCCUCCUCAAAUCCAAUGUUGACGCGCUAAGCCUCAUCCAGGUCGGUCUUACUCUCUCCGACGCCGACGGUAACCUCCCCGAUCUCGGUGAUGGCCGGCGCUUCAUCUGGGAGUUUAAUUUCAAGGAUUUCGAUGUGGCGCGUGACGCACACGCUCCGGAUUCGAUCGAGCUUCUCCGUCGGCAAGGGAUUGAUUUCGAGCGGAACCGCCGCGACGGCG